GGGAAGGUAGCUCAGUGGUAGAGUGCUUGCCUUGUAUGCAUGAGGCACUGGAUUCAAUUCCGCAGCUCCA
This 70-nucleotide transfer RNA is filed under the name Dipodomys ordii (Ord's kangaroo rat). It matches the Rfam family "tRNA". Rfam says of the family: Transfer RNA (tRNA) molecules are approximately 80 nucleotides in length. Their secondary structure includes four short double-helical elements and three loops (D, anti-codon, and T loops). Further hydrogen bonds mediate the characteristic L-shaped molecular structure. tRNAs have two regions of fundamental functional importance: the anti-codon, which is responsible for specific mRNA codon recognition, and the 3' end, to which the tRNAs corresponding amino acid is attached (by aminoacyl-tRNA synthetases). tRNAs cope with the degeneracy of the genetic code in two manners: having more than one tRNA (with a specific anti-codon) for a particular amino acid; and 'wobble' base-pairing, i.e. permitting non-standard base-pairing at the 3rd anti-codon position. Lineage: Eukaryota; Metazoa; Chordata; Mammalia; Rodentia; Heteromyidae. The record is from Rfam by way of RNAcentral.